UGGCUGCCUAAGUAAAACUCUUUCUUUUCUCUAGAAAUCAUAUGUCUGCAGUGGAAAACAGCACUUGACCCCACAACACUGAGGCUGACCAUCAGGGCCAGAACAAGAAAUUACUUGGAGAAGAACUGUACAUCAAAUCUUUGUGCUAAAUGGGUUGAAGUAGAUUUGGUUUGUACUUCUCAGAGAGGAUUCAAUGUGACAUGUUAUGGGAAGCUCUGGCAGAAAUAUGUGGUAAAAUCAGAAAUCACUUCCAAUCAGAUCUUCACAGAUGAAUAACAUGCUGGUCUGCUGAGAAAUAAAAACAUUGACAUUAAUUAGAACUGGCUUUUG
This 330-nucleotide long non-coding RNA is filed under the name Parus major (Great Tit). Its description in RNAcentral is "lncRNA (ENSPMJG00000016599.1)". Lineage: Eukaryota; Metazoa; Chordata; Aves; Passeriformes; Paridae. The record is from RNAcentral.